AUACGUAGGGUGCGAGCGUUGUCCGGAAUUACUGGGCGUAAAGAGCUCGUAGGUGGUUUGUCGCGUCGUCUGUGAAAUUCCGGGGCUUAACUCCGGGCGUGCAGGCGAUACGGGCAUAACUUGAGUACUGCAGGGGAGACUGGAAUUCCUGGUGUAGCGGUGAAAUGCGCAGAUAUCAGGAGGAACACCGGUGGCGAAGGCGGGUCUCUGGGCAGUAACUGACGCUGAGGAGCGAAAGCAUGGGUAGCGAACAGGAUUAGAUACCCUGGUAGUCCAUGCCGUAAACGGUGGGCGCUAGGUGUAGGGGUCUUCCACGACUUCUGUGCCGUAGCUAACGCAUUAAGCGCCCCGCCUGGGGAGUACGGCCGCAAGGCUAAAACUCAAAGGAAUUGACGGGG
Molecule: ribosomal RNA, 398 nt
Filed under: uncultured bacterium
Lineage: Bacteria
Description: partial 16S ribosomal RNA
Rfam family: Bacterial small subunit ribosomal RNA
Source: RNAcentral